AUUGAACGCUGGCGGCAUGCUUUACACAUGCAAGUCGAACGGCAGCGCGGGGCAACCUGGCGGCGAGUGGCGAACGGGUGAGUAAUACAUCGGAACGUACCCAGAAGUGGGGGAUAACGUAGCGAAAGUUACGCUAAUACCGCAUACGACCUAAGGGUGAAAGUGGGGGACCGCAAGGCCUCAUGCUUUUGGAGCGGCCGAUGUCUGAUUAGCUAGUUGGUGAGGUAAAGGCUCACCAAGGCGACGAUCAGUAGCUGGUCUGAGAGGACGACCAGCCACACUGGGACUGAGACACGGCCCAGACUCCUACGGGAGGCAGCAGUGGGGAAUUUUGGACAAUGGGGGCAACCCUGAUCCAGCAAUGCCGCGUGAGUGAAGAA
Molecule: ribosomal RNA, 380 nt
Filed under: uncultured bacterium
Lineage: Bacteria
Description: bacterial SSU rRNA
Rfam family: Bacterial small subunit ribosomal RNA
Source: RNAcentral